This 1071-nucleotide long non-coding RNA is filed under the name Fukomys damarensis (Damara mole-rat). Its description in RNAcentral is "lncRNA (ENSFDAG00000031530.1)". The record is from RNAcentral. Lineage: Eukaryota; Metazoa; Chordata; Mammalia; Rodentia; Bathyergidae.
CAAAAUAUUUCCUUCUCUUUUUUCUUCUCACUUCACAGAACUGAUAAAUAUAAGGAUAGCAUAAGUUUUUUUGGAAUUAUAGGCUUAAAUUUGUUACAAUUUGGGUUUUUUUGCUUAUAAAAGUUUCUUAUAGUUCGUGUUCUUCAUAAUGCCUUUCUACAAAAAAGUAUCUUACUAUGACUAUAGCAUAGGGUGUUACAGUUGUCCUCACAGCCCCUUGGUUGAUUCCUCUUAACUCCACGGGCUUUCUUAAACAGAAUUGUAGUGAGAUGGAAGAAAGUUUCCAGCUGAAGAGGGAUCAACACGGAACUGUGAUUUCGAUGUGAGUAGGAGGCCCUUGGUAGCUCCAUGUUUUGGCCAGAUCCUCCCUCUAACCUCUAAAAUACAUUUUCUCUGGCUUGAAAGAGGGAUUCUAGGAAUCAGUGGCAGAAAGGCUAAGAAACAAGAAAAAGUGGCAGGAAAAACGUUGAGGUUAAAAGGCAAAGUGUUUCUACGAAUUUGUGAAGAGGUAUUACAAGUUUGUUCAUGUACAAAGAGAACUACUGCUUUUGUCCUUCUUUCAAAGGUGGAUGUUUUCUUUUAGCACUCUUCAAGAAAAGUUGAAUUAUCCAAAAAGUGAUUAAAUUAUAAAAGAAAUAUUAAAUCAUAUUCGUAUUAUUUCCUGCCUGGCUUUGUCCAAAAUGUACAGUGGAUGAGCAAGGUUCAGAUCAAAGCAGAACUCAAAGCCACCUAGUUGGAAAAGACACAAGCAUUUGCUCUGGAAUCAGAAUUUAAUGAUCUUUUCUAAUAACUACCCAUUACAGUUACUAUUAAGUAGAGAUUCCAAGGCUAUAACUUCAUAAGAUUUAUGUAGAGUGGUCUAUUUAUUAUUAACAUAAAUUGCUGCCCUUUGCAAUAUUUAGGAAAUAGUAGCCAGAGAAGUAACUUGGUAAACCAUGAUCUGAUUUUAGAGUAAACAUGGGAAAAUGGUAAAAGAUCUUCUAAGAAAUCUUUGGAGGAAAAGGAAGAAAACAAAAGUGAAUCACUGAAAAUAAAAUUAAACUCAUGAUGAAGUAGAAAUCUCAAAUUGAC